This 425-nucleotide ribosomal RNA is filed under the name uncultured bacterium. RNAcentral describes it as "partial 16S ribosomal RNA". It matches the Rfam family "Bacterial small subunit ribosomal RNA", at positions 354 to 796 of the family's 1533-position model. The record is from RNAcentral.
GUGGGGAAUAUUGGACAAUGGGCGAAAGCCUGAUCCAGCAAUGCCGCGUGAGUGAAGAAGGCCUUAGGGUUGUAAAGCUCUUUUACCCGGGAUGAUAAUGACAGUACCGGGAGAAUAAGCUCCGGCUAACUCCGUGCCAGCAGCCGCGGUAAUACGGAGGGAGCUAGCGUUGUUCGGAAUCACUGGGCGUAAAGCGCACGUAGGCGGCUUUGUAAGUUAGAGGUGAAAGCCACGGGCUCAACUCCGGAACUGCCUUUAAGACUGCAUCGCUUGAAUCUGGGAGAGGUGAGUGGAAUUCCAAGUGUAGAGGUGAAAAUCGUAGAUAUUCGGAAGAGCGCCAGUGGCGAAGGCGGCUCACUGGACCAGAAUUGACGCUGAGGUGCGAAAGCGUGGGGAGCAAACAGGAUUAGAUACCCGAGUAGUCC